UGGCGAACGGGUGAGUAACAUAUCGGAACGUACCGGGUANCGGGGGAUAACUGAUCGAAAGAUCAGCUAAUACCGCAUACGUCUUGAGAGGGAAAGCAGGGGACCUUCGGGCCUUGCGCUAUCCGAGCGGCCGAUAUCUGAUUAGCUGGUUGGCGGGGUAAAGGCCCACCAAGGCGACGAUCAGUAGCGGGUCUGAGAGGAUGAUCCGCCACACUGGGACUGAGACACGGCCCAGACUCCUACGGGAGGCAGCAGCG
RNAcentral lists this ribosomal RNA (257 nucleotides) under uncultured Neisseria sp. Its description in RNAcentral is "partial 16S ribosomal RNA". It matches the Rfam family "Bacterial small subunit ribosomal RNA", at positions 96 to 356 of the family's 1533-position model. Lineage: Bacteria; Pseudomonadati; Pseudomonadota; Betaproteobacteria; Neisseriales; Neisseriaceae. The record is from RNAcentral.